RNAcentral lists this ribosomal RNA (483 nucleotides) under uncultured bacterium. RNAcentral describes it as "partial 16S ribosomal RNA". It matches the Rfam family "Bacterial small subunit ribosomal RNA", at positions 28 to 507 of the family's 1533-position model. The record is from RNAcentral.
GAUGAACGCUGGCGGCGGGCCUAAUACAUGCAAGCCGAACGACAGCGUUGGUAGCUUUCUUUGGUCUAUAGAGUGGCGAACGGGCGUGUAACACAUGCAUAACCUGCGCGACAGGGGGGGAUCACACCCGGAAAGGGAUUCUACCACCACAUCACCCUGCGAACGCCUCUGAUUGAAGUGAAACAGCAAGGCGUGCCUCAUGGGCAUGCGGGUCCUUAGCUAGAUGGCGGGGUAAAUGCACACCAAGGCGGUGAACAAUAGGGGUACUGAGAGGAAGGUCCCCCACACUGGCACUGAGAUACGGGCCAGACUCCUACGGGAGGCAGCAGUAGGGAAUAUAGGACAAUGGUUGCAAGACUGAUACAGCCAGGCCGCGUGCAGGAAGAAGGCCUUCUGGGUCGUAAUCUGCUGUGUCCUGUGGAUAAAAGACCCGUGCGCGGCGAAUUGAAGGUAACAAGGGAAUAAGCCACGGCUAACUACGUG